CUUCAAAAUCCCGCACGGUUACAGUAACCCUAGCCGAAAGCGUACAUCUUAUAGCCAAACGAAUUCCGAUGCUAGCACUCCGGGCGUCCGUUCGUCUUUACAAUAACCCUAGCCGAACGGAUCAUCUUCCAGGCGAUCGACUUCAUCUCCUCCGGACCGUUUCGAAAGCUAUCACACCCGAGCAUUCCACUUCCGCCUGCCGCAACAUGCCGUUUCACUUGCACCAAAGCAUAUGCAUUUACACCCGAUCGGUUACUUCUCCAUCCCGACCGUUCCAAAUCCGAUCGCCGCACUGAAAAGAAUGCUUGAAAGUAUACCCUUAUCUAUUUGGGAGCUGCUAGGUGAGAUGAAGAGGGAGGAGUAGUGUAAAGGGGAAGAUUCUUGAGGGAAAUAGGAAGGCUCAUUUGAAGGUGUGGCUGAGCUGCAAGGCUUCCUCACCAUCAAGGGAACAACAUCUUCCAGCAUCCCUUGUGGCCUCUGGACAUCAGUGAGAAGUCCGUUGCAUUUAAGCUUGCUGCAUGCUGGUCAUUUUUCUGGGAGAGGAGGAUAUGGGAGUAGGUGAAGUGGAGGUGGAGACCUUCAUAGGUCACUAUGACUGUCUCGGGAUCUUCUGUCGAUCUCUCCACCUGCUUCUUUG
Molecule: long non-coding RNA, 637 nt
Organism: Dendrobium catenatum
Lineage: Eukaryota; Viridiplantae; Streptophyta; Magnoliopsida; Asparagales; Orchidaceae
Exons: 3
Source: RefSeq, a predicted model, not a curated record